This 229-nucleotide ribosomal RNA is filed under the name uncultured bacterium. RNAcentral's name for it is "partial 16S ribosomal RNA". It matches the Rfam family "Bacterial small subunit ribosomal RNA", at positions 568 to 796 of the family's 1533-position model. The record is from RNAcentral.
GAGGCAGGUGGUCUCGUUUGUCUGGGGUGAAAUCCCGGAGCUUAACUCCGGAAGUGCCUCGGAAACGGCGAGACUUGAGUUCUAGAGAGGGUCGUGGAAUUCCCGGUGUAGCGGUGAAAUGCGUAGAGAUCGGGAGGAACACCAGAUGCGAAGGCGACGACCUGGAUAGAUACUGACACUCAACUCCGAAAGCGUGGGGAGCAAACAGGAUUAGAUACCCUGGUAGUCC